GCACGCAUGAUUGAUUACAAACUGAUGUAGUGAUUGCUAACCAAUUAUCCUUGGCCACAAUAUCAGUAUGUGACUAAUGUUAUUCCUCCGGUUGCAGGUUCUGGUGGAUCAUGCGGACUUCCUCAAGGAACUCCACUGAAGACGAGCAGGCUCAAAUUGUGUCGCGAGGAGGCAAACCUUAUGUUAGCAAUGGUCUGUGUGAUUGUAAUAAAACAAACCUUGUGUAGUAGCAAUGGUCUGUGUGUGAUGAUGUAAUAAAAGGGCAGCCUCUUCCGCUCGACGAACAUGCGGUGAUUGACCUAGCGUUAUCAAGUUGCUUGCAGUUUGAUUGUCACCACAAAGGUGAUUGUUAGUUCUUGAUAAACAUGAACUGGGGACUAGAUUGUGAGAGGUGAUUAGUAUAGUGCGGGAAAAGGAGGAAGAUGCACACCUACAGCGUAUACUAUACCCGAUUUCUACAGAGAGAAAGAAAAGAUCACCCUG
This 483-nucleotide long non-coding RNA is filed under the name Triticum aestivum (bread wheat). Its description in RNAcentral is "long non-coding RNA (TAES_LNC015025)". The record is from RNAcentral. Lineage: Eukaryota; Viridiplantae; Streptophyta; Magnoliopsida; Poales; Poaceae.